UACAGAGGUCUCAAGCGUUGUUCGGAUUCAUUGGGCGUAAAGGGUGCGUAGGCGGCGGGGCAAGCCUGAUGUGAAAUCCCGGGGCUCAACCCCGGAACUGCAUUGGAUACUGCCUUGCUAGAGUACUGGAGAGGGAACUGGAAUUUACGGUGUAGCAGUGAAAUGCGUAGAGAUCGUAAGGAAGGCCAGUGGCGAAGGCGAGUUCCUGGACAGUUACUGACGCUGGGACGCACGAAGGCCAGGGGAGCAAACGGG
Molecule: ribosomal RNA, 255 nt
Filed under: uncultured bacterium
Lineage: Bacteria
Description: partial 16S ribosomal RNA
Rfam family: Bacterial small subunit ribosomal RNA
Source: RNAcentral